Molecule: ribosomal RNA, 357 nt
Filed under: uncultured bacterium
Lineage: Bacteria
Description: bacterial SSU rRNA
Rfam family: Bacterial small subunit ribosomal RNA
Source: RNAcentral
AGAGUUUGAUCCUGGCUCAGGAUGAACGCUAGCUACAGGCUUAACACAUGCAAGUCGAGGGGAAACGAUAUUGGAAGCUUGCUUCCGAUAGGCGUCGACCGGCGUACGGGUGAGUAACGCGUAUCCAACCUGCCCACCACUUGGGGAUAACCUUGCGAAAGUAAGACUAAUACCCAAUGACGUCUCUAGAAGACAUCUGAAAGGGAUUAAAGAUUUANCGGUGAUGGAUGGGGGAUGCGUCUGAUUAGCUUGUUGGCGGGGUAACGGCCCACCAAGGCGACGAUCAGUAGGGGUUCUGAGAGGAAGGCCCCCCACAUUGGAACUGAGACACGGUCCAAACUCCUACGGGAGGCAGCA